Molecule: long non-coding RNA, 722 nt
Organism: Oryzias melastigma (Indian medaka)
Lineage: Eukaryota; Metazoa; Chordata; Actinopteri; Beloniformes; Adrianichthyidae
Exons: 5
Source: RefSeq, a predicted model, not a curated record
CAACCGGGCCCAAGUAACGCCCGCCGUAAAACAGAAUAAACCAAACACCGGUCGUCUGUCAUUCUCAAUUUUUAAUCCUUCUAUUUGUCUUGCAUCAGCAGUUGUACUGUAAAGAAAACAAGUGGACCGAGAAGAGCUGGGUGGGUUUGUGCUUCAGCUUCAGCCUCUGCUCCUGUAAAAGUCGCUCGGGGGAAAGUCUGAGCCGGGGACGACCACGCCCAGUUUGCAUCAGGCCCAGAAUGGAUCAAACAGGGAAAAAAAGAGACAAUGUGGACUUCAUUCAUCCUGGUGACAGCUCUCAGAUAAGAAGUGUGGACGGAGGAAUGGACAAUCAUGUAGUUAUUCAUUCAUGGAAAAGACAUGGGAGUGGAAAGAAUAUAAUCAACUGGUUCCCCUUCAGCUCUUGAAACCUGCACUGUGACCGACCGCCUUAUCUCCGCGGAGUCCUUCCCUUCCCAGCAAGUUUACGGCAAGACGUUUAACGGGAGGCACCCAAUUAAGAGGAAACGUGCGGGUCUUCACGAGAGUCCCACCAACAUCGGUGCUUUGGUCUGGGGCUGAUGUCGGAACGUACACAACGUGAGCAGCAAUCCUCCUUCCUCCGCUCACAUUCGCUGAGGGAAACCAGUAGAAGGCUGCUACUGCAGAUAUAUAUCCCACAGCGGAGAGAACGUGGAACGCUUCCAUAACAUACAAUGUUCAAUCAAAAAAAACAAAAAAAA